AACGAACGCUGGCGGCGCGCCUAAUACAUGCAAGUCGAGCGAGAAGACGUAGCAAUACGUUUGUAAAGCGGCGAACGGGUGAGGAAUACAUGGGUAACCUACCCUCGAGUGGGGAAGUAACUAGCCGAAGGUUAGCUAACACCGCGUACGCUCCUUGGACUUCGGUUCAGGGAGGAAAGCGAUACCGUGGGUAUCGCGCUCUUGGAUGGGCGUCAUGUCCUAUCAGCUUGUUGGUGAGGUAACGGCUCACCAAGGCUUCGACGGGUAGGCUGGUCUGAGAGGACGAUCAGCCACACUGGCACUGCGACACGGGCCAGACUCCUACGGGAGGCAGCAGUAAGGAAUAUUGCGCAAUGGGCGAAAGCCUGACGCAGCGACGCCG
This 382-nucleotide ribosomal RNA is filed under the name uncultured bacterium. Its description in RNAcentral is "bacterial SSU rRNA". It matches the Rfam family "Bacterial small subunit ribosomal RNA", at positions 29 to 399 of the family's 1533-position model. The record is from RNAcentral.